This 2997-nucleotide long non-coding RNA is filed under the name Macaca mulatta (Rhesus monkey). Its description in RNAcentral is "lncRNA (ENSMMUG00000064118.1)". The record is from RNAcentral. Lineage: Eukaryota; Metazoa; Chordata; Mammalia; Primates; Cercopithecidae.
UCACAUUUUAGUUCGCUUUCUACUUGAACAAUGAUGUUCUUAUACAUUCUUUAAUUUUUCUUGUUGAUUCUGAUUGCUAUUUUUCACUUGCUGACAAAAGAAGUACACACUUUUUCUACCAAGUCCAUAGGAUUUCCUGACUUUUCAAUUCUAUUAUUAAAUAUUUAAUAGUCUUAUUCCUUCUUAGAGAUUAAACCUUUAGAGUGCCCCAAAUUACAUUCAAAUUUGGAUUUAGUGUUUUAUGAGCCUGCUGCAGAGCUAUUUUUCCAGAAUUUCUUCCCAUUUAAUUCUUUAUUAAUCAGCCUAGUUUAAAUGUUGUAGCAUCUCCAAAUUUCAGAUGCUUAAUUUUUUAAGAAGUCUGCUUUUUUUUUUCACUCCUAUCCCAAUCCACCUAGAACCAGAAGGGAGUUUCACUCCAUUGAGACACUCCGAAGCGGAGAUUUCCAUCAGCUGCUUAGCACCACUCCACAACUCAUGGGAAGACCCUGCCCUUUCUCUUCAGUGAACAUGGAUGAAGUUCAGGCAGCAUCAGCAUGCACAGUAAGUGAAACAGAGAUUACCUGAGUUCAGUAGAAUUUUAUCUUAGGCAAAUGUCUACACUUACUUUGUGUUUUGUAUACUAUGUUUGCUGGGGUUGUUUUGACAAUUAGAAAAUAUUUUAGUAUUAAAAUCUCAAAUAGAUCUCCCCAAAUAAAACAAAUUUUAAAACCUCAACCCAAAGGAUAAACCUCUACCCAUGCCAACCACACCUUAUUUCCUCAUUAUUUUACAAAAGAUUCAAACUUAAAGAUGAUAAAUAAUGGCCACUAGAAAGAAAUGCAGCAAGAGGGAUGAAUAUUUACAUAGUAAUAAAAUAAAGUGGAUAUCAUUGUUUGAUUGACAAGGUGAUUUUUUUCAAUGGAAAGAUCAGUUGUGCAUUCAACACACACUUCAUGAACACCUAUUGAAUAUCACUGUGUAGCAGGCACUGCUGAAUGCUUGGAAUAGACACGGUUUCUCACUUCAAGGAUUUUACAAAUGUAAAGGUAAAUGUAUGAUAGGAAUAUAUUAUAUUGGUGGUGUGAGUAGUUUUAACAAGUCUUUAUUUCCAUAGGUUCAUACUAACUCAAGAGUUUAGAUUCCAGAUAACUUUUGGAAUCUAAAGCCUUUUGCAUAGAUAUGCUGCCAUUAUAAUCAACAUCCUUUGCGUUCCUCUCAAUUAAACCAAGUUAUAUCCACAUUAUUAGUGUUCUGCAAAAAAAUGCAUAAAAGUUCUCAACUCACUUUGCCAAUAUAUUUUACAUAGCAGCCGCUGUUAUUAACUCACUACUUUCUGCCAGCCCUUAUUAAAUACUUGUUCAUAAAUAGAUUGCAAAGGUCUUCUAUACCCCAAGGUAAAAGAGGGAAUUAACAUUUAUUGAACAUCAACUAGGUGCCAAGUUUGUUACACUUAUUUUCCAUCCUCAAGGCUACAGCAAGUUGUCUUCUAAGGACUUCGGAACAAGGAACACAAGAUUACCUUCUGAAGGGUCAACUACAAAGUCAGCACAUGAUGGAGGAAAUUAGCCCUAAAAGAACCAGGCUAAAAUAACAGAGUGGAAAUGCCUCAGGAGGUUAUUCAAUCUUGAGGUAGCUCUGGACCUAACAAAGACUAGGCUACACCUGCCCAAUAAGGUUGAAUCACAGGCGAUGAUACUAAUAAACUCCAAGAGAGAAAACAUACCAUCUGAAGUUGGUCUGAAUAUGUGUAGUUAGUACAUUCAAGAGAAUGUAGAUAAGGACCUGGUCAAUUUGUUCUAGCACUGCCUGGAAGACAGGGAAUCUUGGUCAACAGAGGUUGGGUAGGUCAUUCUUAAAUUGCCAAAGUCACCCCCAUUUUAUAAACAGAAAAUAUCUUAGAGGAUACCUUUUCCCAAGAUUAUUACAUUUCUAUAAUUCUGACUUUCCACUCACCUAAGUAAAAUUCUGAUUAGGACUUAGCUUUGUAAGGAAAGUGAUGGCUGAAAGUAGGCAUUCAUCAUGAAGAUUUCAAAUAAUUGAAUGCCUGGAAUACAUUUUUUUUUUCCUGAUUAAAGUUUUACACUGACAUCUACCCCUUAGAAUCUAGAUAAGAUUGUUUCAGCCUCCCAUAUCAUGCUUCAUUUAAAGUUUAAUGCUGUUUCUAAUAUUUCCAUGAGUUCAUGCUGAGGCAGAGAGGGCAGGUUUACAUUCAUAGGAUUACCUGUGGUUCUAAUUUGCUAAAUUUCCCCACUUUGGAUCUUCUAGUUGUUCCUUUACAUCUUCUCAGCCAUUGAUCCAGGAAAAUCAACCUCUUUUCUUCAUAAAAUCACAAAAAAUAUCCAAUAUAUAUAAGGCAAGAGUAGCCAUGUGAUCUUCCCUGAAGUUUUGAGAUAGUGGGACUUUAGGGCGGAGCAAAUAACAUUAAACUGAGCCUUAGGUAUCCUUGUUUCCUUUCAUUAUCCUAGUGGUAUCUUCUUUGAAAUCCACUUCCCCCAUUCUUUACUCCUUCAGUCUUAGACCUGCCCACAUACCUACCUGGAGAAACACACACACCAGCACACACACACAGGCACCACACUUUCCCAUUUUCUUGAGAAGAUAUUUUAGCUUUCUCCAGCACCUACCUAGAACCCAACUGAAGUUUUGAAAUAUCUACCAAUGAGGAUAUUUUCAAAAUAGGUCCUCUUUUACAGCACAGUUUUGAGAUAUGGGUCAAGAUCAGAUUUCCAGUUACAGUAGCAUUCUGUUGUCUGCCUCCAUCUUCUGUAUGUUUUGGUGUGUUUUUCAUGAAGUGAUCACCUCUGGGGCUGUCAUAGACUAGAUCACUUGGCUUUCAGAGCAGGGGCCUAGAUCCAGGAUUUGAGGUCCAACUCACCCUUGGCUAGACUGUCUGCCAUUCACAGUAUAGGCUCUCUUCUCUCUGUCAUAGUUCCUUAUACUUAUAUGUUCAAUUAUCUCUAAGGAUCUGGUUUCCAAGGCAAGUAGCUUAGAUAAUGUCUUUGAAUAAUUAUAGCUUCU